This 497-nucleotide ribosomal RNA is filed under the name uncultured bacterium. RNAcentral's name for it is "partial 16S ribosomal RNA". It matches the Rfam family "Bacterial small subunit ribosomal RNA", at positions 28 to 507 of the family's 1533-position model. The record is from RNAcentral.
GAUGAACGCUGGCGGCGUGCCUAAUACAUGCAAGUCGAGCGAACAGAUGAGGAGCUUGCUCCUCUGACGUUAGCGGCGGACGGGUGAGUAACACGUGGAUAACCUACCUAUAAGACUGGGAUAACUUCAGGAAACCGGAGCUAAUACCGGAUAAUAUAUUGAACCGCAUGGUUCAAUAGUGAAAGACGGUUUUGCUGUCACUUAUAGAUGGAUCCGCGCCGCAUUAGCUAGUUGGUAAGGUAACGGCUUACCAAGGCAACGAUGCGUAGCCGACCUGAGAGGGUGAUCGGCCACACUGGAACUGAGACACGGUCCAGACUCCUACGGGAGGCAGCAGUAGCGAAUCUUCCGCAAUGGGCGAAAGCCUGACGGAGCAACGCCGCGUGAGUGAUGAAGGUCUUCGGAUCGUAAAACUCUGUUAUUAGGGAAGAACAAAUGUGUAAGUAACUAUGCACGUCUUGACGGUACCUAAUCAGAAAGCCACGGCUAACUACGUG